CACAGGUGGAAUGAAAGAACCUGGUAGAUCUUCUUCUCACUGUUGGUGACUUUUAGUUUUUUGGGCCCAGUCCCUGUCCUACAAAGUGGUACUGCAAGUGGAUUCAUUUAUCAGGUUUCCCAGAGACUAUGGGUUGAGGAGGAAUUGAAAGUUUGUCGGCUUAGACCUGGUGUCAUUCCAUCAGUGUUUAACUUCCCGGCUCAUCUUGGAAGAGUACGUGCCAGAAAGACCACGACCAAGCAGCCUUGAGAUCUUAGGCAGCGUCUCCCUGAGACCAAAGAACUACAGACUCUUCACAACCUGCUCAAACUCUUGGUACAGGACCUCACCACACGGGUCAAGAAGGUUUCUGUCUCAUUUCUACUCUGAAGCUCACCUUCUCCUGCUCAAACUGCUGAUAAAUGUUUCUGUUGCUCUAAAGUCUGGUCUCCAGAACUUCCUAAAAACUCUCAAAGUCUCUUCUGCUGCAGGUUGCUUUCUAGAACUGUUCCAGAAAACCUCACUAAACCACAUGGAGGGGUCUCAAGAUAGUCGUCCAAAUGAAACCAUACAAAAACCAAACUAGCACAACCCAAACGCUAAAGUCUCCUGCAGCCUACCAGAGAACCUCUGAGAACAGAGAAUCAGGACAGGAACUCUUACCUUCUGGACAACCAACGUUGCUUCACAAACAAGAAUACAGAAUGUGUCUGACCAAAAACCUCUAAAGACUCACUACAGCCAAGAUAAAGACACAACUCAGCUGUACCAAAUCCACUGAUCACUGCACACAUUAGCACCAUGUCCUAACUGUGGCUAAAGAACCACAUUUACCAAGACAACUAUCCAGUACAAAACCCUAAAACACACCAAGAAACACAUUAAAGACGAUUUUACUGCUGGAAGCUGCAAGCCAACGCCUAAAGAACUAACUAAAGCAACGGAGCCAAACCCGGUUCUGUGGUGAAGAGAAGCAGAGGAAAUGUUUGUCUGCAGCUAAAUAAAGCAGGAAGACACUGAGCUGCUCAGGUGUUCCUGAUAACACCAAGCUGCUCAGGUGUUCCUAAUAACACCAAGCAGCCACCUGGACAGCCAAUAGGAACACAGUUUCCUGGAAGUCCAGAGGGCUGGCUUAGUGAAGGAAAUUUAGUUUAAAGUUGAAGCAGAAAGUUAACAAAGAAAGCUGAAAACCACCUUCUGAUACCUGAAAUCUCUGAGUUUUCACACAAAGAACACCUGAACAUGUCAAACUGGUUCCAUAGUAGAACCAUCAUUGUAAAAACGUCAUAGUAUGGUGUGUUGCUCAAAAAACAUUAGGACCCAGCUGUCAGGGGACAAACAUGUAAGAAACAUGAGAACAGAGAGAACCCAACCAGUAGGUCACAGUUUAUCAUCCCCCAGUCAUCUCCUGAAGUCCAUAUGGUGAGAGACAUCAGUAUCUGGUUGUUAAUUUACCAGAGGAUGCUUAUAAUCAUGCUGAUGUGGUCUGUACUCUACAGUAUUUUAGUGACUCAAUAAAUGCCUAAGUUGUUUUUUUAAAUGCUUUUUAGUUUUUAAUAAACAUUUAAUAGCCUAUAUGUAAUCAAUAAAUGGCCUUUGCCUAUCUUAAGAAAAACUCACUCAGAACUCUGAUAUGUUAACAGUACUAAAUAAAUCAAUAAAUACAUGCAUACACACAAAAAUAAGUUAAUACAUUAACUGUGUUAAGAUAAGAUUUAGAUUUUUUUUUUUUAAAAAGUUGCUUAUGUUUUUGCAGAAUCCAGUAUUACUCACUGGUUGGUCAUUACAUUUUGUUAGUUUGAUUUCACUGUUUAAAAUGAUGCCACCUCUUUUCAGACAGAACCUGUGAUAAUAAAAUAAUACAAAAUUUUUAGUUCUGUGUUAAUAAAGCACUUAAAGCUUUAAGUAUGGCUAAAUGCUUUUUUCAAAAUUAAAUAUAUCACUCCUUAGGUGGUAGUGGCCCCAAGUUCAGUAAAGUUGGAAAGAUAUUCACAGAUUCAGACUUCCAGCAUCAAUAACUCAUUAGAUAUAGGUUGUCAAAACAUAAACGGUGCCUCUUUCCCAUUGUUGCAAGGCAGACAAUGUGCUACAAGCCCAGUUUUAUCAAAAGUAGCUGUCUUUCAAGCUACAGGAAUAACAUUGGUGUCUAUGGAGUGAACAGGGUCCGUCUGCAAUUUGCAAAACCACUGCAACAGUAAAGAGAGACAAAUAUUCAAUAACUUCACUCUUAUACAUUGUAGUGUCACUAAAAUCACUGCAGCCUUCAACUGGCUCCUGUUGACAAAGUGUUUUAACAGAAAUGUAAAUGCUGUAAUUUGAUUCUUUUAAUAAACCAUGUAACUUGAAUGGA
Amphiprion ocellaris (clown anemonefish) is the source of this 2329-nucleotide long non-coding RNA. RefSeq lists it as uncharacterized. The transcript is spliced from 3 exons. The record is from RefSeq and is a predicted model, not a curated record. NCBI's taxonomy places the organism in Eukaryota, Metazoa, Chordata, Actinopteri, Pomacentridae.